RNAcentral lists this ribosomal RNA (526 nucleotides) under uncultured bacterium. Its description in RNAcentral is "bacterial SSU rRNA". It matches the Rfam family "Bacterial small subunit ribosomal RNA", at positions 996 to 1525 of the family's 1533-position model. The record is from RNAcentral.
AGCCUAAGAGAUUAGGCCCUCCUUCGGGACACGAAGACAGGUGUUGCAUGGUUGUCGUCAGCUCGUGUCGUGAGAUGUUGGGUUAAGUCCCGCAACGAGCGCAACCCUCAUAUACAGUUGCCAAUAUUUAGUUAGGAACUCUGUAUAGACUGCCGUGGUUAACACGGAGGAAGGUGGGGAUGACGUCAAAUCAUCACGGCCCUUACGUCCUGGGCUACACACGUGCUACAAUGGCUAUUACAAAGAGUAGCGAUACAGUAAUGUGGAGCGAAUCUCAAGAAGAUAGUCUCAGUUCGGAUUGUGGGCUGCAACUCGCCCACAUGAAGUCGGAGUUGCUAGUAAUCCCGAAUCAGCAUGUCGGGGUGAAUGCGUUCCCGGGUCUUGUACACACCGCCCGUCACGCCAUGGGAGUUGGGAGUGCCCAAAGUCACUGACUUAACCGCAAGGGGAGAGGUGCCUAAGGUAAUACCAAUGACUGGGGUGAAGUCGUAACAAGGUAGCCGUAUCGGAAGGUGCGGCUGGAUCA